Molecule: long non-coding RNA, 382 nt
Filed under: Vigna radiata
Lineage: Eukaryota; Viridiplantae; Streptophyta; Magnoliopsida; Fabales; Fabaceae
Description: long non-coding RNA (VRAD_LNC015923)
Source: RNAcentral
UGUUUUGUAAGGGACAAAAAAAUAUAUUUUUUGCCUUAUAUAUCUAGGUAAGUGAACUUUGUUAACAUAAUAAAGUUUCAGUGAUUUUAAUAUAUAAUAGUUAAGUUAUUAUGAAUUUAAGUGCCAUUGACAACUUCUUAUUAAGUUAUUGUGAUUUUUCCAUUGAUGUUGUUCUUCUCUUCAAUUUCUUUCCACAUUAUUGACUCUCCAUGUGAUCGUCUUCGAGAUAUCUUUUCUUGCCUGUAACCCCGAAAUGAUUUCAAUUUUUUUUAGUCUCAUAGGUUUAGUUUUGCAUUCCCGCCCUUCUUUCACUUUCACACGCCCUCCUCGCUUUCACUUUCAUUUUGUCUGCAAUGCACUUUCUAAGUUUUCUUUAAGUUUC